CGGGUGCACUGAUCCAGCCGGGCCUUUCCCUCUGUGGAACCCCAUGGCCUUCACUGGCUGUGGCGGGGAAACAGGACUUUUACUUUGAAAAAAUUAGAGUGCUCCAGGCAGGCCUAUGCUCGAAUACAUUAGCAUGGAAUAAUAGAAUAGGACGUGUGGUUCUAUUUUGUUGGUUUCUAGGACCGCCGUAAUGAUUAAUAGGGACAGUCGGGGGCAUCAGUAUUCAAUUGUCAGAGGUGAAAUUCUUGGAUCUAUUGAAGACUAACUACUGCGAAAGCAUUUGCCAAGGAUGUUUUCAUUGAUAAGGAACGAAAGUUAGGGGAUCGAGGACGAUCAGAUACCGUCGUAGUCUUAACUAUAAACUAUGCCGACUAGGGAUCGGACGAUGUUAUUCUUUGACGCGUUCGGCACCUUUCGAGAAAUCAAAGUGCUUGGGCUCCAGGGGGAGUAUGGUCGCAAGGCUGAAACUUAAAGAAAUUGACGGAAGGGCACCACCAGGGGUGGAACCUGCGGCUUAAUUUGACUCAACACGGGGAAACUCACCAGGUCCAGACACAGUGAGGAUUGACAGAUUGAGAGCUCUUUCUUGAUUCUGUGGGUGGUGGUGCAUGGCCGUUCUUAGUUGGUGGAGUGAUUUGUCUGCUUAAUUGCGAUAACGAACGAGACCUUAACCUGCUAAAUAGCCCGUACUGCUUUGGCAGUUCGCCGGCUUCUUAGAGGGACUAUCGG
Molecule: ribosomal RNA, 729 nt
Filed under: uncultured eukaryote
Lineage: Eukaryota
Description: SSU rRNA
Rfam family: Eukaryotic small subunit ribosomal RNA
Source: RNAcentral